UCUGCCCCCCCCCCCUCUCUCACUCUCACCCACGUCGAAACAUGUCUCUCCCUCCCUCUCCCUUUCGGCCGUCGGUCUAUCUCCCUUCUGGUCGUCGAGUCUCUCCCUUCCUCUCCCUUCUCUUCCAGCCGUCGGUCUGGCUCCCUUUCGGCAGCCCUUGGAUCGGUCCGGCGCAAGCAUUAUCCACCGGCGUCUCUUUGUCUCUCGGCUUGUCCGAUCCGAUCGUGUCUUGCUUUCUCCCUUUCUGGCCAUCUCUCUCAUUCUCCCGCCCAUGCAACCGAUCGUCCUCCAUUGCAGCUUCUUUCAUUCUCUCAAGAACUCUGUAAAGCACUGAUUUACAAAAAUCCAACCGUCUGAUAUUCGAUCCGAGCGUAUUUUUACUGUGAAAGUGGCCCCGAUCUACAAAAAGAUCUAUUCUCUGUUCGCGUCAAAUUUGCCCAAUGUAGGGGAGGGGGGAGGCUGCCCCAUUUUUUCACAAAUCAAACCCACAAGAUUGGCAACAUUGAUGAUGUCAUUCCCCAAACUGUUGUUGUCCAGAAUCCUAUGUAGGUUGAUGAAAGUGGCAAAUUGGUGAGCAAUGUUGUUCGAGUGACUACAGAGAAGAAGUGAUUCCGACUAACUUCACAUUUGCCUUGUGGAAUACCAAUCCGUAGAUAUUAGUUCAAGAUUAUUGUGUCCUUCAGGAGUGAAGAUGGAUAUAUAUGGAGAUACAUUGUGCAUAUAAGAGUGAAAUUGGCAUUACAACAUUGCAGAUAUGUAAGGGUCUUAAAGAAAUCGAACUGAUUGAUUUGGAUUGAGAGGACAAGAAUGGGAAAUACAUGACAUUUGUGGCA
Diospyros lotus (date-plum) is the source of this 833-nucleotide long non-coding RNA. RefSeq lists it as uncharacterized. The record is from RefSeq and is a predicted model, not a curated record. Lineage: Eukaryota; Viridiplantae; Streptophyta; Magnoliopsida; Ericales; Ebenaceae. The transcript has 3 exons.